AUAGAAAAUAGGUGCCCGUACCGCAAACCGACACAGGUAGUCAAGAUGAGAAUUCUAAGGUGAGCGAGCGAACUCUCGUUAAGGAACUCGGCAAAAUGACCCCGUAACUUCGGGAGAAGGGGUGCUCUUUAGGGUUAACGCCCAGAAGAGCCGCAGUGAAUAGGCCCAAGCGACUGUUUAUCAAAAACACAGGUCUCUGCUAAACCGUAAGGUGAUGUAUAGGGGCUGACGCCUGCCCGGUGCUGGAAGGUUAAGAGGAGUGGUUAGCUUCUGCGAAGCUACGAAUCGAAGCCCCAGUAAACGGCGGCCGUAACUAUAACGGUCCUAAGGUAGCGAAAUUCCUUGUCGGGUAAGUUCCGACCCGCACGAAAGGCGUAACGAUUUGGGCACUGUCUCAACGAGAGACUCGGUGAAAUCAUAGUACCUGUGAAGAUGCAGGUUACCCGCGACAGGACGGAAAGACCCCGUGGAGCUUUACUGUAGCCUGAUAUUGAAAUUCGGCACAGCUUGUACAGGAUAGGUAGGAGCCUUUGAAACGUGAGCGCUAGCUUACGUGGAGGCGCUGGUGGGAUACUACCCUAGCUGUGUUGGCUUUCUAACCCGCACCACUUA
Molecule: ribosomal RNA, 612 nt
Filed under: Staphylococcus aureus
Lineage: Bacteria; Bacillati; Bacillota; Bacilli; Caryophanales; Staphylococcaceae
Description: partial 23S ribosomal RNA
Rfam family: Bacterial large subunit ribosomal RNA
Source: RNAcentral